CUCAGUUUCCUCCUCUCCUGUGCUCACUCCCAGGCUGUUUAGCUUUCCUUUGUAAAUAUUGCUGGACCAACCAAGGAACUCUUAUUUAUACCUUCCAUCACCUGGCACCAAUCAGAUAUAUUGGACUACAACUCUAAUCAUACUCUGCCAUACUUCAUUUAGAGGGGAGGUUGAAUGAAUUUUGCCUUCUAUAACUGCAAUUGCCAUAUUUCCCAACUCCGGCAUGGAAAACUUGCAGGAUAUAUAGGGUCUGCAAUUGCUUCCAUAGGAUCUUGAACCAAUUUUCCCAGGUCUAACCUCUAUUUUUAGAGCCUAACUAGCCAAGGCAGUAUUGCCGUCUCCCCUAGAAAUAAGGUUUUAUCAAAAACCUUCUUGAAUCUAAUGGUGUGGAUGAAGCCUGUUUAGUUCUGGGCCAGUAUCAGUUUCCACCCUUCCUAUAGAAUAAGUACUGGAUAUUUCAGCACUGGAACUUGUACUGGACUAAGGAUUACUGGCUAUAAUUUAGUCCUAUUUUUAAUUCUCUGGCAGGAAGGGUGGUUUCACUAGUAAUAGUACUAUUAUCUUAUUUUUAAGAAACUCUAAGAAAGCUUGAAAUGAGGAGUGUAGCAUUUUAUUUUUUUAACUUAAACAUUAGUUUUAAUGACUUUGAUCACUGGCUGGGUUUGAGACAUGCCAGGGAGUAGUUCAUUGCAGGAUUAGCUCCUGGCUACAGGAGGCCCUAGAUAGCAUCCUUUAGUGGGCUCCUUCCUGUAUUAGUGAGCCUUGGUAGGAUCUUCAUGCUUUUCACAGUAUUUGACAACAGUGCUAUGUCAGUGACGAUAGGACAGAUUUUGUUUUAAAGAGCAAUUUUAAAAUGAUAUCCAGGUGGGUCAGGUGUUGGCAGCUGUUCUUUUGCUAAAAGGAUUCUACAAUUUUCAGCUACAGCUUACUAAAGUUGUGCAUUCCUGGGUGAAGUGUGAUUUAAUUAUAAAGAAAGUCUAAGCCAUGGCUUCCUUCAUAACUGAACUGGGUCAAAGAGCAAAGUGAACAAUAGAGUCUUAAAAGUAGGCAACUCCUUUUCAAUAUUAAACAACUUUUAGAGAAGCCCAGUGGAAUGGGUAGUGAGAUAAGAAUGGCUGAAGCUAGCUGGGCAACUAAGAGAGAACAAGGUUCACCUACACACUACCUGUUCCAUGGCUACCAUGUUGAAUCAAGAGGAGAAAUUAAUGUCUUUUGCUUCACAUAAGAAACCUACGGAUUUAUGGGGAUCAACUUCUGCAGAGUUAAUCUUGCCAAAAAAUGCUUCGGUUUUCUGACUUGGGAUGUAUCCAGCAAUUCACAGUUUAAUAAGAAACAAUAUUGGACUUGCCAACUCAGAGAAAUGAAAAUAUCUUUGGAAAACAGCAAAAAGAAGCACAAAAUAAUUGUGGUACCUUAAAUUCUUGCUUUUAGCUCACAUCUAAUUAUCUAUUAUGCUGGCCAACAUUUCAGACUUGUUUUUUUAAUCUAGGCUCUAAGCAAAGACUCUUGUGUUUGAUGUGUUGGACUGCAACUCCCAGUAUUCCCAAACAGCAUGGGAUUAUGGUACUUGUAGUCUAUUGCAUUUGGAAAGCAAUGGGCUAGAAAACUGCCUUAAUUUAUCUUAUUUCCAUGAGCCAAGGAUGGUUGCUGACCUCUGCACUAAACAAAAUUGAACCUAAACUACCAAAAUUGGGGCUUAUUUUGAUGUGUGAAAACUCCCUUAAAAGGGAUUGACCUUCUUUGGAUUCUAUUCCACAUGUCAUUGUCAAGAAAAUUUGAUUUCAUUCACUGAGUAUCCAUCCUUGACAAUAGUCAUAUUUUAUUUGCCCAUUCCUUCCCAUCUCCCAGGCAUGUUUUAAAUUACAAAGAAUGUCUUUAGUGAUGUAAAUACAUAAAUACAUUCAUAUAUAAAUAAAUGAAUCUAUAUAUAUAUUUGAUGUUUACUGGAUUUUCCCAUUGUUUAUGGUACUGGAGGUCUUGAAUCAUUGUGCCUUGAUUGUAAAUAAGCUUGAGUGUCUAUUUUAUGAAUAAAAAUAUUAUGAUUUGUAA
Molecule: long non-coding RNA, 2049 nt
Organism: Thamnophis elegans (Western terrestrial garter snake)
Lineage: Eukaryota; Metazoa; Chordata; Lepidosauria; Squamata; Natricidae
Exons: 2
Source: RefSeq, a predicted model, not a curated record